Long non-coding RNA from Cygnus olor (mute swan), 317 nucleotides. RefSeq lists it as uncharacterized. The record is from RefSeq and is a predicted model, not a curated record. NCBI's taxonomy places the organism in Eukaryota, Metazoa, Chordata, Aves, Anseriformes, Anatidae. The transcript has 3 exons.
GCAAAAGGCCCCAGCAGUGAGACCAGUUUAGUUGGCAAUCUCUUUGCAAGAGAUAACAAGCAAUUUUUCUGUUUUACAAAUGCAUUGAUCAAAAUAUCUUGAGAGGGCGUUUUGCUGGAAAAGAGAGCCCUGACUUUGCCUGGUGUUUUAAUGCUGAAUCUGGACAAUUUCACACCCUCUCAUACUGGAUAAUGGCAUGCUUAUUGCAACCCAAAUUGAUUUUUGUAUCCUGUCAAACACAUAAGGCAAUUAAUUAAUCAGUUGAUGCAAUUUCAUCAAACUGCUUUCAGCUUGUGGUGUUUUUGAGUAAAAUGCCA